GAUGAAGAACGCAGCGAAAUGCGAUAAGUAAUGUGAAUUGCAGAAUUCAGUGAAUCAUCGAAUCUUUGAACGCACAUUGCGCCCAUUAGUAUUCUGGCGGGCAUGCCUGUUCGAGCGUCAUUUCAACCCUCAGGCCCCCAGUGCCUGGCGUUGGGGAUCGGCGCGGCGCCCUCCGGGGCGCUGCCGGCCCCGAAAUUCAGUGGCGGUCUCGCUGUAGCCCUCCUCCGCGUAGUAGCACAACCUCGCGGCCUGGAGCUCGGCGGUGGCCAUGCCGUAAAACACCCCACUUCUGAAAGUUGACCUCGGAUCAGGUAGGAAUACCCGCUGAACUUAAGCAUAUCAAUAAGCGGAGGA
RNAcentral lists this unclassified non-coding RNA (354 nucleotides) under soil metagenome. RNAcentral describes it as "partial contains 5.8S ribosomal RNA, internal transcribed spacer 2, and large subunit ribosomal RNA". The stretch from base 1 to 120 matches the Rfam family "5.8S ribosomal RNA", at positions 35 to 154 of the family's 154-position model. The record is from RNAcentral.